This is a long non-coding RNA of Syngnathoides biaculeatus (alligator pipefish), 636 nucleotides long. RefSeq lists it as uncharacterized. The transcript has 3 exons. NCBI's taxonomy places the organism in Eukaryota, Metazoa, Chordata, Actinopteri, Syngnathiformes, Syngnathidae. The record is from RefSeq and is a predicted model, not a curated record.
UUUUGAAGAUGCUGAAAGUUUAGUUUAACAUAAUUGCCGUUAGUGGCAACAAGCUCGCAAUACAUUGGAACAAACAUUACUGUCGGCAAUGGUGACGUAUUCUUGUGGAAAGGGGGGGCACGCACUGCAGGACUGCCAUAAAUAGGAGGCCGGCUUGCUCGAACGCGCCUUUAUGUGCAUGCGCUCGACAUAUUGGGCACACCUAAAUCAAGUGAUGAGGAACCUAUGCUCAACCCGGGAAUAGUCCCUUCGAUGUUCUUUGAUCGAUUUGCUGAGCAGGACAAAAGGAACACAGCCUGGAAGCACCAGCGACGCUAGUAGUUCAAGUGCAAUGCGACGCAGGGCACGCUAUGCAGCUUCAACCAAGAGAAAGCUUAUUGAGGAAUUGCUUUCCCCUGUGAUCCUUGUUGUGGGUGUUCAUGAAAUGUCAUCUGAUCCCGAACAAGCAGCUGCUAGUUGUACAGAAGAUGUUGGCCUACAUGAAACAGACAACCCUUCCAUUAUUGAGGAUGAAGCUAGGCUUGGUCAAUCUUCGAGUGCCAUGUUCCCUCUGGAGUUUCACUGUAAAUCCUGCAGCCGUGCUAUUACUGUCAAAGAUAUGUAACUGGUGCAAAGCUAUAAAAAUCAACUUUUUGG